GAAGCUGUCUAUUUGGGUGACAUCAUCACUGGAGAGCAGGCUGCCCUGGCAGAAAAGACGAAGGAUAUACCAGUCCCAGUCUGACUUACCUCCAGAAGUGAUAGAAAAGUAGAGGGACAUUCAGCCCCAGCGUGAGCCACUCUUGCGCACACAGGAACAUAAUGCAGAAGAGGCUAUGGAUGGAGUAUUCUGGCAGCACCAGCUGAAGAGGGAGCAGAGACACGGCCCUGAGUUAGAGGAGGAAAACGCCACUCCUGCUUCUAUGGCAGCUGACUUCUGCCUGGACACUGCCUCUCACAGACGGUUGACACAAAGGCCCUCCCUGCAGCAACGUAGAGCCACUGCCCCAACACAGAUCCAUUUCUGAUACGCAUCAAGAGCCUACUAUGAGGUGUCAAACACUGUGGCAGGCACUGGAGGUGCCAGGAUGAGUUCAAUGAGCCUGGUGACAAUGUUCCAGGCACCCCCAGGCUGAUGGGAGAGACCGACAGCUGAACACUGGACCAUGCCGCAGCCAGCACUCACACACUGACUGAAGCUCUAGCGCUGGCUGGUCCCUUACAGGUGAGUACAGUUGGUCACAAAGGGUGUGGACAAAGAAGAAUCCAUGGAAAUUCAAACUCAACUCAACUCUCCAGGCUUUGAGCACCCAAUGCCCUGGAUUAAAUAUGGCAGGAGGCCCAGCAAAGACCUUACAAUAGAUCGGGAGAGAUAAACCGAAAACCUAAGUGACUAUAUAAUCCAAGGCUGAAUAUAGGGAGAAGCAAAAUAGAAGGAUAAGCAUAAUAGGGUCAAAGGAGGAGGGAGGCAGAUCAGCCAACACUAGCCCUUGCUGGGUGGAAGAGCUGAAACAUUCUAUUUUAAAAACACCCAGUUGAUCAUCAGAGAGCCAGAAUGAAACAACCACAUAAUAAGGCAGAUAUUGGAAAUUCUUAAAAUGAUGAGCGUCUUCCCAAACUGGAAAUAAUUGAUGAGGAAUAUUUUAAACCCUGGAAGCAAAGAGAUUUCAAGAGGAGAUGCAAUUUUAAAGACACUCAUCUAUGGAGUGCCCCAAAUGCACUAGGACUGCACAGGCUGUGUGGGGAACUCAAGGUUGAAAAAGAUAUAUCCUUGGCCCUCAGGAAGACUACAGCCAGUGUAAAGGGGACCAUAACGAUGUCUACAUCCCAGGGCUGUCGCGAGUGAGAUCAUCCAACCAAGCACUUUGUACAACGUCUGGCAUA
RNAcentral lists this long non-coding RNA (1223 nucleotides) under Homo sapiens (human). RNAcentral's name for it is "HSALNT0022877". Lineage: Eukaryota; Metazoa; Chordata; Mammalia; Primates; Hominidae. The record is from RNAcentral.